RNAcentral lists this long non-coding RNA (437 nucleotides) under Lathyrus oleraceus (garden pea). RNAcentral's name for it is "Pisum sativum (pea) long non-coding RNA (PSAT_LNC040663)". Lineage: Eukaryota; Viridiplantae; Streptophyta; Magnoliopsida; Fabales; Fabaceae. The record is from RNAcentral.
AAAGGAGAAGUGAUGACAUUGUUGGCAACAUUUAAUACAAUGAUGUUUUCAUUCAAUUAAUGCAUUGUUAAACAUUUGUUUUUCCAUUUGUUUUCACUUUUUGCUUUUUGCAUGAAAUCAGUGAUCACAAAAAACCCCUGAAAAACAAAAACAGCUUUUUCAUCUGCAUAAAUGAUUUGCUUGUUUAAAUUCAAAAGCUUUUCAUUAUCAGAAUCAUUAUGCAGGGAUUUCUAAACCCAUUGAACAUAAUGAUCCAACGCCAUCUCCCAAUCUUGAAUUCUUUGUAUUCGGAGCAGAGGAAGAUGAUGUUGAAGGGGAUUCCUGAUGAGAUUACCCGCCUUCUUGAGCACCCAAAGAAGCUCAUUCAGCUGUAUCAUGAGAAUCAGCAAAGCAGUCAAACUGGGGCAUUGCAAUCAAAAAAAAAAAAAGAAAAAAAA